CAAGAUUAUCUUGGCAACAAUAGCCCUACCUCUAGUGCAAGCAUUUUCAUUCUCAUCACGCUCCAUCAGGCCAAGCAACUUCUCAAAAGCAAAGCCAGGCAAAGUCACAGUCACCACCAGGACAUUGGACACAACUUCUAGUUUGGCCCUUCCUCACCGAGAUGCUCUGGGUUGGAAAUGUGUCCCUCUCACCUGGACUUUCCACACCUUCCCUGGAAACAAGAUGAAGCACAAAACUCAGGUCAAAGCAGCCACUGUGCCAGAGAGAUUCAGGUGACUCUCGCCGGCAGAAAUAAAG
Molecule: long non-coding RNA, 298 nt
Filed under: Heterocephalus glaber (naked mole-rat)
Lineage: Eukaryota; Metazoa; Chordata; Mammalia; Rodentia; Bathyergidae
Description: lncRNA (ENSHGLG00100036989.1)
Source: RNAcentral